This 253-nucleotide ribosomal RNA is filed under the name uncultured Sphingobacterium sp. Its description in RNAcentral is "partial 16S ribosomal RNA". It matches the Rfam family "Bacterial small subunit ribosomal RNA", at positions 524 to 776 of the family's 1533-position model. The record is from RNAcentral. Lineage: Bacteria; Pseudomonadati; Bacteroidota; Sphingobacteriia; Sphingobacteriales; Sphingobacteriaceae.
UACGGAGGAUCCGAGCGUUAUCCGGAUUUAUUGGGUUUAAAGGGUGCGUAGGCGGCUUUAUAAGUCAGGGGUGAAAGACGGCAGCUUAACUGUCGCAGUGCCUUUGAUACUGUAGAGCUUGAAUGUGAUUGAAGAUGGCGGAAUGAGACAAGUAGCGGUGAAAUGCAUAGAUAUGUCUCAGAACUCCAAUUGCGAAGGCAGCUAUCUAAGUCAUGAUUGACGCUGAUGCACGAAAGCGUGGGGAUCGAACAGG